UUUCCGUAGGUGAACCUGCGGAAGGAUCAUUAUCAAACAGCGGACUUCGGUCCGACCUCCAACCCUUUGUGAAUCGUACUCGUUGCUUCGGGGGCGACCCUGCCGUCCGCGGCUGAGCGCCCCCGGGGUCAAUCAAACACUGUAUUCUCUGCGUCGGAGUAUUAGUAAAUCUAAUCAAAACUUUCAACAACGGAUCUCUUGGUUCUGGCAUCGAUGAAGAACGCAGC
Molecule: unclassified non-coding RNA, 227 nt
Filed under: uncultured fungus
Lineage: Eukaryota; Fungi
Description: sequence contains ITS1, 5.8S rRNA gene
Rfam family: 5.8S ribosomal RNA (bases 179-227)
Source: RNAcentral